Molecule: long non-coding RNA, 160 nt
Filed under: Monodelphis domestica (gray short-tailed opossum)
Lineage: Eukaryota; Metazoa; Chordata; Mammalia; Didelphimorphia; Didelphidae
Description: lncRNA (ENSMODG00000043374.1)
Source: RNAcentral
UAUACUAGGAAUAAAGGAAAAGUAACUUGCAGAAAGUAAGAGAAAGCAUUCAUCAUUCUCCUAAUCCAAGCAGAAGAGGAAAUAGAAGCCUUCAGAUGACAGCCAGACAGCCUAUCAGAUUUUCUCCCAUCAUGGGUGUCUCUGGAACAUAACUCCCGUG